RNAcentral lists this ribosomal RNA (253 nucleotides) under uncultured bacterium. RNAcentral describes it as "partial 16S ribosomal RNA". It matches the Rfam family "Bacterial small subunit ribosomal RNA", at positions 524 to 776 of the family's 1533-position model. The record is from RNAcentral.
UACAGAGGGUGCGAGCGUUAAUCGGAAUUACUGGGCGUAAAGCGCACGUAGGUGGCGACGUAAGUCGGGUGUGAAAUCCCUCGGCUCAACCGAGGAACUGCACUCGAUACUGGUCGGCUAGAGUCCGGGAGGGGAUGGUGGAAUUCCCAGUGUAGCGGUGAAAUGCGUAGAUAUUGGGAAGAACACCGGUGGCGAAGGCGGCCAUCUGGACCGGAACUGACGCUGAGGCGCGAAAGCCAGGGGAGCGAAUGGG